This 188-nucleotide ribosomal RNA is filed under the name uncultured Pseudomonas sp. Its description in RNAcentral is "partial 16S ribosomal RNA". It matches the Rfam family "Bacterial small subunit ribosomal RNA", at positions 1195 to 1382 of the family's 1533-position model. The record is from RNAcentral. Lineage: Bacteria; Pseudomonadati; Pseudomonadota; Gammaproteobacteria; Pseudomonadales; Pseudomonadaceae.
AUGGCCCUUACGGCCUGGGCUACACACGUGCUACAAUGGUCGGUACAAAGGGUUGCCAAGCCGCGAGGUGGAGCUAAUCCCAUAAAACCGAUCGUAGUCCGGAUCGCAGUCUGCAACUCGACCGCGUGAAGUCGGAAUCGCUAGUAAUCGUGAAUCAGAAUGUCACGGUGAAUACGUUCCCGGGCCUU